This 343-nucleotide ribosomal RNA is filed under the name uncultured bacterium. RNAcentral's name for it is "bacterial SSU rRNA". It matches the Rfam family "Bacterial small subunit ribosomal RNA", at positions 32 to 368 of the family's 1533-position model. The record is from RNAcentral.
AAUCAACGCUGGCGGCGUGCCUCAGACAUGCAAGUCGAACGAUUAAAGCUCUCUUCGGAGAGUGUAUAGAGUGGCGCACGGGUGAGUAACACGUAAGUAAUCUACCUUCGAGUGGGGAAUAACGUCCGGAAACGGACGCUAAUACCGCAUAAUGCAGCGGCAUCGCAAGAUGACAGUUGUUAAAGAUUUAUCGCUUGAAGAGGAGCUUGCGGCAGAUAGCUAGUUGGUAAGGUAAUGGCUUACCAAGGCUACGAUCUGUAACCGGUCUAAGAGGACGGUCGGUCACACUGACACUGAAUAACGGGUCAGACUCCUACGGGAGGCAGCAGUCGGGAAUUCUGGG